UAAAGUCUUCCAUUGAAUGACUGCUUGC
Molecule: small RNA, 28 nt
Filed under: Bombyx mori (domestic silkworm)
Lineage: Eukaryota; Metazoa; Arthropoda; Insecta; Lepidoptera; Bombycidae
Description: ovarian small RNA-18406
Source: RNAcentral